UACGGAGGGCGCUAGCGUUGUUCGGAAUUACUGGGCGUAAAGCGCACGUAGGCGGCUACUCAAGUCAGAGGUGAAAGCCCAGGGCUCAACCUUGGAACUGCCUUUGAAACUAGGUAGCUAGAAUUCUGGAGAGGUCAGUGGAAUUCCGAGUGUAGAGGUGAAAUUCGUAGAUAUUCGGAAGAACACCAGUGGCGAAGGCGACUGACUGGACAGAUAUUGACGCUGAGGUGCGAAAGCGUGGGGAGCAAACAGG
Molecule: ribosomal RNA, 253 nt
Filed under: uncultured bacterium
Lineage: Bacteria
Description: partial 16S ribosomal RNA
Rfam family: Bacterial small subunit ribosomal RNA
Source: RNAcentral